UUGACACUUUUGGUAACUGGAGCCGCCGGUUUUGUAGGCUUCCAUGUCACGCAGGCUCUUUUGGCGCGUGGCGAACAGGUGAUUGGGAUUGAUAAUCUGAAUGGUUAUUAUAAUCCCCAGCUCAAGCAGGCGCGCCUUGCCCUGCUUGAAGCACAGCCGCAGUUUUCUUUUUAUCGUUGUGAUCUGGGGCAACCAGAAAAUUUGCAAGAGCUGCAGAAGAAAGCCCUCAAUAUAGAGGGUAUCUUUCAUUUUGCAGCGCAGGCAGGUGUGCGUUACUCGCUGAAAGACCCUUACAUCUUUGCGGAUUCCAAUGUGCGUGGGCAUGUGGCGAUGUUGGAAUUUGCGCGUGAACUGCCAAAUUUAAAGCACUUUGUGUAUGCGUCAUCUUCUUCUGUAUAUGGGCGCAACCGCAAACUCCCAUUUUCAGAAACAGAUCCCGUAGAUCAUCCGGGAUCUUUUUACGCAGUUACAAAACGCGCGGCUGAACUGGCGUCAUCUGCCUAUAGCCAUCUGUAUAAUAUUCCUCAGACAGGUUUACGGUUUUUUACUGUGUAUGGUCCGUGGGGUAGGCCAGAUAUGGCCUAUUACAGUUUUGCCCGCGCAAUUACGGAAGGUCGGGAUGUCACUCUUUAUGAGGGCGCAUCUUUAGCGCGGGAUUUCACAUAUAUUGAUGAUGUGGUUGCAGCUGUGCUGGCUGUGUACGAACAAGUGCCCCCUGCGACAGAGCCGCGCGUACUGAAUAUAGGGAACCAUCGCCCGGAACCGGUGAAGUAUUUGGUGGAAUUGCUAGAGCAGGCUUUGGGCCGUAAAGCCGCAAUUCGUUAUCUACCGCGUCCGGAAUCUGAUGUGGAAAAGACAUGGGCCGAUAUUACGUCCAUUCAACAGCUCACCGGGUGGGCACCACAAACCACAUUAGAAGAGGGUAUUCCUGAGUUCAUCCGCUGGUUUCAGGCGUGUGGGCACAAUUUCAGUUAAGCUGAUUCGUAAGGAGUAGAAUCGGGUUUUGUGGAAAAGUUCUUAUUUUUCAGUGUGUUGUAUUUUUUCUGAUUUUGGGUGUUGACGGUGUAAUGGGAUGGGGUGUAGAAGCUGCUUCACCGAGACGGAGUGGUCUUGGCGGGUUUAGAAAGAUCUGCUAGGUUAUUCGGCUCUUUUGGUCUUUGACAAGAGAAUAUGAUAGAGAGGGAUAUGCUGACGGCGUGUCUUUCUGAUCUAGGCUUCGGUUUAGGUUGGGGGAAUUGAUAGGUUUUUAGGAACCUUUUGGACGUUUUGUUGGUAUAUCUUUUGAUAUGCGUUUUGACAGAUGUUUCGAAUUAGCUGGCCUUUUGGUGAGUUAAUUUAUUGAGAAGGGUCCUUAGUUUGUUGUGCUGCUUUGGUGGCAUGAUGAACCUGAGAGUUUGAUCCUGGCUCAGAGCGAACGCUGGCGGCAUGCUUAACACAUGC
This 1440-nucleotide ribosomal RNA is filed under the name Acetobacter pasteurianus IFO 3283-01. RNAcentral describes it as "16S rRNA of rrnB operon". RNAcentral also lists the same sequence under 1 other name. The record is from RNAcentral. Lineage: Bacteria; Pseudomonadati; Pseudomonadota; Alphaproteobacteria; Acetobacterales; Acetobacteraceae.